CCGAUAGCGAACAAGUACCAUGAGGGAAAGUUGAAAAGCACUUUGGAAAGAGAGUGAAAAGUACGUUCAAAUCGUUCGGAGAAAAGGGGAUAAGUGGCAGGAAUGACCAUUAGUCUAUGACUGAUAUUGUGUUAAUUGCUUUGACGGCUGAUAAAUAUUUGGGAAUUCUCGGAUUUCCUUAUUGCAACUCCGUUAAUUGCGAGCUUCUGUGUUAUCCCUCCCGUCUUGAAACACGGACCAAGGAGUUCGAGUGGCCAGCAAGUUAUAGGAUAUGAAAUCCUAAGGCGCAAAGAAAUUGAUAUGGUCAGAGUACCUUUUAUGCUGCGAACUCUAUGGAUAUAAGCAGCGGAGAGUCCUUCGGGGCUUAUCCCGAGCUGGUUGCUGGAGACCCGAAAGAUGGUGAUCUAUGUCGAGACAGAAUGAAGCCACGGGAAACCAUGGUGGAAGUUCGAAGCGGUUCUGACGUGCAAAUCGAUCGUGUGAUCUCGGUAUAGGGGCGAAAGACUAAUCGAACCAUCUAGUAGCUGGUUCCUUCUGAAGUUUCCCUCAGGAUAGCAGACUUUCUAUUUCAGUUUUAUUGGUUAGAGCAAAUGAUUAGAGGUAUGGGAGAUUUCGUAUUUUCCACCUAUUCUCAAACUUCGAAUCGGUAAUGUGUAAUAGUGCCGCAGUAAUACUAUUAUACAAAUGUGAUUGUCUAGUGGGCCUAUUUUGGUAAGCAGAACUGGCGAUGUGGGAUGAACCAAUAGCUUCGUUUAGGUGUCUAAUAUUGGCUCAUGAGUAACCAUGAAAGGUGUUGAUCGAUAUAGACAGCAGGACGGUGGCCAUGGAAGUCGGAAUCCGCUAAGGAGUGUGUAACAACUCACCUGCCGAAUCAAUCAGCCCUGAAAAAGGAUGACGCUUGAGCCAGUAACCCGGACGUAGCUGUAAUCAGCUGGUCAUGUAUUGAUGUAUUAACUGAUUGCAAGUAAGAAGGUAUGAUGGUUGCGUCGACCUGUAUGCGUGAGCGUGCAGUGAGCGGCCAUUAGAGCUGAUCUUGGUGGUAGUAGCAAUUCUUCAAGUGAGAUCCUUGAGAGCCUAAGUGGAGAUCGGAUUCCAUGUGAACAGUGUUUGUACGUGGGUAAAUCGCUCCUAAGCCGGAUGCGAAGGCAUCUUCAGUGCAUUUGUUGACGGCGAAAGGGAAUUGCGUUAAGAUUCUCAAAUCUUUGUCUAAGCACCUCAUGGCGACAUGUCUAGUUUGGGUUACUGUUUCGCGAUGUUGGAUGAGAGUUAUCUUUUCUUUUUGACACAAGAAUAACCGUGGAAAGGUGUUGGACCACGAAACGGUUGCGUUUUUGGCAGAAAAUGGCAGCAUUUGCUGUCUUCCAUGCAUCAGCGGGGCUCCUUGAAAAAUCCAGACUGUUGUGAUGGCAAAGGGCGUACCAAUAACCGCAUCAGGUUCCCAAGGUGAGUAGCCUCUGGUUAGGAAUAGUGUAGGUAAGGGAAGUCGGCAUAAUAGAUUCGGACCUUUGGUAUAAGGAUUGGCUCUGACGGCUGGGUUGCGGGAGCUAGUAGCUUUGCUUUCUGUAAUUUUUGCUGUGGGAUGCUUGUCGUCCUGCGAAUAAUUUUGCAGUCUGCGUGAGUAUCUGGUCUCUCGGGGCAUUUUACAGUCUAACUCAGAACUGAAUACUGACACGGGGAUUCCGACUGUCUAAUUAAAACAAAGCAUUGCGAUGGCAAAAGUUUGUGUUGACGCAAUGUGAUUUCUGCCCAGUGCUCUGAAUGUCAAAGUGAAGAACUUCAAACAAGCGCGGGUAAACGGCGGGAGUAACUAUGACUCUCUUAAGGUAGCCAAAUGCCUCGUCAUCUAAUUAGUGACGCGCAUGAAUGGAUCAACGAGAUUCCUCCUGUCCCUAUCUACCAUCCAGCGAAACUACAGCUAGGGGAACGGGCCUAGUGUAAUCUGCGGGGAAAGAAGACCCUGUUGAGCUUGACUCUAGUUUGACAUUGUGAAGUGACUCGUGAAGUGUAGCAUAGGUGGGAGCUUUUAGCAAUUAUGAAAUACCACUGUUCGCGGUGUCAUUUUACUUAUCCAAUCGAGAAUGCGGGGGGCACCCCAAUUUCACUCAAUAAUCAUUGGUAACAUUGCUUUAUGUUUGGAGAAGUUGUCAGGUGGGGAGUUUGACUGGGGCGGUACAUCUGUAAAAAGAUAACGCAGGUGUCCUAAGGUUGACUCGGCGUGGACAGAAACCUCGCUGGGAGCAUAAUGGCAAAAGUCAGCUUGAUCUGUUUUUACAGUAUGAUUACAGACUGCGAAAGCGUGGCCUAACGAUCCUUUUGAUUUUAUUGUAUUUAAGCAAGAGGUGUCAGAAAAGUUACCACAGGGAUAACUGGCUCGUGGCAGCCAAGCGUUCAUAGCGACGUUGCUUUUUGAUCCUUCGAUGUCGGCUCUUCCUAUCAUUGCGAAGCAGAAUUCGCAAAGUGUUGGAUUGUUCACCCACUAACAGGGAACGUGAGCUGGGUUUAGACCGUCGUGAGACAGGUUAGUUUUACCCUACUGAUUGAAACCUUCGUGUUUACCCUUAGUUACAGCAAUUUCAUUUAGUACGAGAGGAACUGUGGAUUCCCGCCUCUGUUUCUACGACAGUCUGAUAAGACUCG
RNAcentral lists this ribosomal RNA (2637 nucleotides) under Isodiametra divae. RNAcentral's name for it is "eukaryotic LSU rRNA". It matches the Rfam family "Eukaryotic large subunit ribosomal RNA", at positions 334 to 3089 of the family's 3401-position model. The record is from RNAcentral. Lineage: Eukaryota; Metazoa; Xenacoelomorpha; Acoela; Isodiametridae.